AGCAGCAGCAUAUCACCCUGAACACGCCCGAUCUCGUCUGAUCUCGGAAGCUAAGCAGGGUCAGGCCUGGUUAAUACUUGGAUGGGAGACCGCCUGGGACUACCAGAUGCUGUAGGCU
This 118-nucleotide ribosomal RNA is filed under the name Moschus moschiferus (Siberian musk deer). Lineage: Eukaryota; Metazoa; Chordata; Mammalia; Artiodactyla; Moschidae. The record is from RNAcentral.